This 446-nucleotide ribosomal RNA is filed under the name uncultured Thiobacillus sp. RNAcentral's name for it is "bacterial SSU rRNA". It matches the Rfam family "Bacterial small subunit ribosomal RNA", at positions 932 to 1382 of the family's 1533-position model. Lineage: Bacteria; Pseudomonadati; Pseudomonadota; Betaproteobacteria; Nitrosomonadales; Thiobacillaceae. The record is from RNAcentral.
GUGGAUGAUGUGGAUUAAUUCGAUGCAACGCGAAGAACCUUACCUACCCUUGACAUGUCCGGAACUUGCCAGAGAUGGCUUGGUGCCCGAAAGGGAAUCGGAACACAAGUGCUGCAUGGCUGUCGUCAGCUCGUGUCGUGAGAUGUUGGGUUAAGUCCCGCAACGAGCGCAACCCUUAUCAUUAGUUGCUACGCAAGGGCACUCUAAUGAGACUGCCGGUGACAAACCGGAGGAAGGUGGGGAUGACGUCAAGUCCUCAUGGCCCUUAUGGGUAGGGCUUCACACGUCAUACAAUGGUCGGUACAGAGGGUUGCCAAGCCGCGAGGCGGAGCCAAUCCCACAAAGCCGAUCGUAGUCCGGAUUGUUCUCUGCAACUCGAGAGCAUGAAGUCGGAAUCGCUAGUAAUCGCAGGUCAGCAUACUGCGGUGAAUACGUUCCCGGGUCUU